AAAAUAUCAAUGGUGAAUAAUCAAAACGAGUUGUUUGUGUGUAAGCAAUAACAAAGACUCACCUCAUCUCCAGCUACUUCAUUAAGGUUCUCAUCAUGUAUGAACUCAUUGGAUAUUUCGCUCGUAGACGUGAUCGGACUCUUUGUAUGAAAUUCGACAUUUGCUUCUUUUUGUUGCACUCCGUGAACGUUAUAGUGAACGAAUCUUUCGAAACCACAUUCUUUGAGCAUAUCCUCUUCAAAUAUAUCUGGUACGUCACAACAUGUUGUAUGGUAAUA
This is a long non-coding RNA of Danaus plexippus (monarch butterfly), 278 nucleotides long. RefSeq lists it as uncharacterized. The record is from RefSeq and is a predicted model, not a curated record. NCBI's taxonomy places the organism in Eukaryota, Metazoa, Arthropoda, Insecta, Lepidoptera, Nymphalidae. The transcript is spliced from 2 exons.